CCUACGGGCGGCAGCAGUGGGGAAUAUUGGGCAAUGGACGCAAGUCUGACCCAGCAACGCCGCGUGAAGGAAGAAGGCUUUCGGGUUGUAAACUUCUUUUAAGGGGGAAGAGCAGAAGACGGUACCCCUUGAAUAAGGCCUGGCCAACUACGUGCCAGCAGCCGCGGUAAUACGUAGGUGGCAAGCGUUGUCCGGAAUUACUGGGUGUAAAGGGCGUGCAGCCGGGGAGACAAGUCAGGUGUGAAAUCCACGGGCUCAACCCGUGAACUGCAUUUGAAACUGUUUCCCUUGAGUGUCGGAGGGGUAAUCGGAAUUCCUAGUGUAGCGGUGAAAUGCGUAGAUAUUAGGAAGAACACCAGUGGCGAAGGCGGAUUACUGGACGGUAACUGACGGUGAGGCGCGAAAGCGUGGGGAGCAAACAGGAUUAGAUACCCGGGUAGUC
RNAcentral lists this ribosomal RNA (442 nucleotides) under uncultured bacterium. RNAcentral's name for it is "partial 16S ribosomal RNA". It matches the Rfam family "Bacterial small subunit ribosomal RNA", at positions 338 to 795 of the family's 1533-position model. The record is from RNAcentral.